UAAAGCCUUAGCUUCUAGGGAAGGAGCUCUUGCUGAGGGCUUUUCUCAGGAGGGGAUUAGCGUGCUGUCCCUUUACAGCAUGGUGGUUGUGCUGCCGGCUGCUGCCCUGGCUGCCCUUGCUUGGCGCCUCUGAGGGCAGAGGGGCUUCUCCUGAGGGACAGAUGGCUGCUCCCUGUGGGGGACACCUCUUCCCUCAGUUACCACGCUGCACAAGACUGUUAGACUCUGGGCAGUACUCUGGCAUUGAAUUUAAUUUCAAGAGAAGCCCAAGGGAAAUCUGAGCUUUGAAGCAGAGAAGGAAAUACCGGGCAGGCCUGUUGCUGGAAACAGAGAAGAAGGAGGGAACAGUUAAUGGGAUGUGUUCAUCUUUUACUGUUAUGUGAUUAUGUGCUGGAACUGUAAAUUCUUCUGCUAUACCUUUUGAGGCAGAAUUGUAUGGAUGCAACCAAGGAGAAUGUUACCUGUGAAAUGACUUAUUUAGGUAAGAACCCCAAGAAAUUAUUCAUAAAGUAGCAAUUUGUUUCCUA
This 527-nucleotide long non-coding RNA is filed under the name Falco tinnunculus (common kestrel). RNAcentral's name for it is "lncRNA (ENSFTIG00000009480.1)". The record is from RNAcentral. Lineage: Eukaryota; Metazoa; Chordata; Aves; Falconiformes; Falconidae.